AUGGCUCAGGAUGAACGCUGGCGGCGUGCUUAACACAUGCAAGUUGCGCGGUGAUCUCAAGAAGUUUCGGACGGAAAGGGAGAGCAGCAGCGGACGGGUGAGUAAAGCACAAGGACUUGUCCCGAAGAGGGGGACAACUGUGGGAAACCACAGCUAAUACCCCAUAAGCCGAGAGGUGAAAGCAGUAAUGCGCUUUAGGAGAGACUUGUGUCCUAUCAGGUAGUUGGUGAGGUAACGGCUCACCAAGCCGAAGACGGGUAGCCGGACUGAGAGGUUGUACGGCCACAUUGGAACUGAGAGACGGUCCAGACUCCUACGGGAGGCAGCAGUGGGGAAUAUUGGGCAAUGGGGGGCCAACCCUGACCCAGCGACGCCGCGUGAGGGAAGACAGCCUUCGGGUUGUAAACCUCUGUUGCAGGGGAAGAAGAAAGUGACGGUACCCUGCGAGGAAGCUCCGGCAAACUACGUGCCAGCCGCCGC
This 480-nucleotide ribosomal RNA is filed under the name uncultured bacterium. RNAcentral describes it as "bacterial SSU rRNA". It matches the Rfam family "Bacterial small subunit ribosomal RNA", at positions 19 to 518 of the family's 1533-position model. The record is from RNAcentral.